UACGUAGGUGGCAAGCGUUGUCCGGAUUUACUGGGCGUAAAGGAUGCGUAGGCGGAUAUUUAAGUGAGAUGUGAAAUUCCCGGGCUUAACUUGGGAGCUGCAUUUCAAACUGGAUAUCUAGAGUGCGGGAGAGGAGAAUGGAAUUCCUAGUGUAGCGGUGAAAUGCGUAGAGAUUAGGAAGAACACCAGUGGCGAAGGCGAUUCUCUGGACCGUAACUGACGAUGAGGCAUGAAAGCGUGGGUAGCAAACAGG
RNAcentral lists this ribosomal RNA (253 nucleotides) under uncultured bacterium. Its description in RNAcentral is "partial 16S ribosomal RNA". It matches the Rfam family "Bacterial small subunit ribosomal RNA", at positions 524 to 776 of the family's 1533-position model. The record is from RNAcentral.